GUGCCAGCAGCCGCGGUAAUACAGAGGGUGCGAGCGUUAAUCGGAUUUACUGGGCGUAAAGCGCGCGUAGGUGGCUAAUUAAGUCAAUAGUGAAAUCCCCGAGCUUAACUUGGGAAUUGCAUUCGUAUCUGGUUGGCUAGAGUAUGGGAGAGGAUGGUAGAAUUCCAGGUCUAGCGGUGAAAUGCGUAGAGAUCUGGACCAAUACCGAUGGCGAAGGCAGCCAUCUGGCCUAAUACUGACACUGAGGUGCGAAAGCAUGGGGAGCAAACAGGAUUAGAUACCCCCGUAGUCC
Molecule: ribosomal RNA, 292 nt
Filed under: uncultured prokaryote
Description: partial 16S ribosomal RNA
Rfam family: Bacterial small subunit ribosomal RNA
Source: RNAcentral